AGGACUAUACUUUCAGGGAUCAUUUCUAUAGUAUCCAACUAGAGAAAUGCACUCGAAAGUGAUUGGCUGAGGAUGAGGUCCCUAUUGUUAAUUUGUUCCUAUGGUCAACAACAGUACAAUGCUGUUACCGCUGUAUGGCACUUUACAUUAUCUCCCCUGAUGAUAUAGCAGAGCUAAAUAUAACAUCUGA
RNAcentral lists this small nucleolar RNA (190 nucleotides) under Laticauda laticaudata (blue-ringed sea krait). Its description in RNAcentral is "Small nucleolar RNA U3 (ENSLLTG00000018306.1)". The stretch from base 1 to 84 matches the Rfam family "Small nucleolar RNA U3". The record is from Rfam by way of RNAcentral. Lineage: Eukaryota; Metazoa; Chordata; Lepidosauria; Squamata; Elapidae.